CCUACGGGGGGCAGCAGUGGGGAAUAUUGCACAAUGGGGGAAACCCUGAUGCAGCGACGCCGCGUGAGUGAAGAAGGAAUUCGUUAUGUAAAGCUCUAUCAGCCGGGAAGCAAAUGACGGUACCUGAGUAAGAAUCCCCGGCUAACUACGUGCCAGCAGCCGCGGUAAUACGUAGGGGGCAGGCGUUAUCCGGAUUUACUGGGGGUAAAGGGAGCGUAGACGGCAGUGCAAGUCUGGAGUGAAAGGCGGGGGCUCAACCCCCGGACUGCUGUGGAAACUGUACGGCUGGAGUGCAGGAGAGGUAAGUGGAAUUCGUGGUGUAGCGGUGAAAUGCGUAGAUAUUAGGAGGAACUCCAGUGGCGAAGGCGGCUUACUGGACUGUAACUGACGUUGAGGCUCGAAAGCGUGGGGAGCGAACAGGAUUAGAUACCCGAGUAGUC
RNAcentral lists this ribosomal RNA (440 nucleotides) under uncultured bacterium. Its description in RNAcentral is "partial 16S ribosomal RNA". It matches the Rfam family "Bacterial small subunit ribosomal RNA", at positions 338 to 795 of the family's 1533-position model. The record is from RNAcentral.